GGGGAUGUAGUUCAGCGGUUCAGAGCACCGCCCUGUCACGGCGGAAGUCGCGGGUUCGAAUCCCGUCAUCCUCG
This 74-nucleotide transfer RNA is filed under the name Auxenochlorella pyrenoidosa. RNAcentral describes it as "tRNA-Asp". It matches the Rfam family "tRNA". Rfam says of the family: Transfer RNA (tRNA) molecules are approximately 80 nucleotides in length. Their secondary structure includes four short double-helical elements and three loops (D, anti-codon, and T loops). Further hydrogen bonds mediate the characteristic L-shaped molecular structure. tRNAs have two regions of fundamental functional importance: the anti-codon, which is responsible for specific mRNA codon recognition, and the 3' end, to which the tRNAs corresponding amino acid is attached (by aminoacyl-tRNA synthetases). tRNAs cope with the degeneracy of the genetic code in two manners: having more than one tRNA (with a specific anti-codon) for a particular amino acid; and 'wobble' base-pairing, i.e. permitting non-standard base-pairing at the 3rd anti-codon position. The record is from RNAcentral. RNAcentral also lists the same sequence under 6 other names. Lineage: Eukaryota; Viridiplantae; Chlorophyta; Trebouxiophyceae; Chlorellales; Chlorellaceae.